RNAcentral lists this ribosomal RNA (1665 nucleotides) under Triticum aestivum (bread wheat). RNAcentral describes it as "partial small subunit ribosomal RNA". The record is from RNAcentral. Lineage: Eukaryota; Viridiplantae; Streptophyta; Magnoliopsida; Poales; Poaceae.
AUGGACAAAGCUAGAACGAGCAGAUCUAAGCAGGGCAGUCAACUCCGCUCCAUCGUCAGCAUGGAAAUGGCGCAGGCAGCACGAGACCUGUUCAUUCCCACCGGCACCAGCGUACCGCUCCUUCUGCUCGUCGCCGGCCUCACCGCCGUCCUGUACGCCGUGACCCGGCAGAGGAGCGGCGAGCUACGCCUCCCGCCUAGCCCAUUCGGCCUGCCCAUCCUCGGCCACCUCCACCUCCUCGUGCCGCUGCCGCACCAGGCGCUGCACCGCCUGGCCGAGCGCCACGGCCCGCUCCUCUACCUCCGUCUCGGCUCCAUGCCCUGCAUCGCCGCCUGCUCCCCGGACGCCGCCCGCGAGGUGCUCAAGACCCACGAGGCCGCGUUCCUGGACCGCCCCAAGCCGACGGCGGUGCACCGCCUCACCUACGGCGGCCAGGACUUCUCCUUCUCCGCGUACGGGCCCUUCUGGCGCUUCAUGAAGAAGGCCUGCGUACGCGAGCUCCUCGCGGGCCGCACCCUCGACCGCCUCAGCCACGUCCGCCGCGAGGAGGUGUCGCGCCUCGUGGUCUCCCUGGGGCAGAGCGCCGCCGAGGGCAAGACCGUGGACGUGGACGCCGCGCUCAUGGGCCUGACCGGCGACAUCGUCUCGCGGAUGGUGAUGAGCCGGCGGUGGACCGGCGACGACAACGACACCGAGGAGAUGCGGAGCGUGGUCGCCGAGACGGCCGAGCUCACGGGCACGUUCAACCUGCAGGACUACAUCGGCGCGUUCAAGAACUGGGACGUGCAGGGCCUCGGCAAGCGCAUCGACGCCGUGCACCGCAAGUUCGACAUCAUGAUGGAGAGGAUACUCACGGCAAGGGACGCCAAGCGGCGGCAGCAACGGGAGACCGCCGACUCCGACGACGGUGGCGAGGGGGAGCGUAAGGACAUUCUUGAUAUCCUGUUCGACAUGCACGAAGACGACGCCGCCGAGAUGCAGCUCACCAGAGACAACAUCAAGGCUUUCAUGCUGGACAUCUUCGCGGCGGGGACGGACACGACGACGAUCACGGUGGAGUGGGCGCUGUCGGAGCUGAUCAACAACCCGGACGUUCUCCGGAAGGCCCAGGACGAGAUGGACGCGGUGGUCGGCAAGGACCGGCUCGCCGACGAGUCGGACAUCCCAAACCUGCCGUACCUGCAGGCCGUGACCAAGGAGACGCUGCGGCUACACCCGACGGGCCCGCUGGUGGUGCGGCGGUCCCUGGAGCAGUGCAAGGUGAGCGGGUACGACGUGCCGGCCGGCGCGACGGUGUUCGUGAACGUGUGGGCCAUCGGGCGCGACCCGUCGUGCUGGCCGGAGCCGCUGGAGUUCCGACCGGAGAGGUUCCUGGAGGGGGGCACGAACGCCGGGACGGACGUGCGCGGGCAGCACUUCCACAUGCUGCCGUUCGGGUCCGGGCGGCGGAUCUGCCCCGGCGCGUCGCUGGCCAUGCUGGUGGUGCAGGCGGCGCUGGCCGCCAUGGUGCAGUGCUUCGAGUGGCGGCCCGCGGGCGGCGCGGACAAGGUGGACAUGGAGGAGGGGCCCGGGCUGACGCUGCCGCGGAAGCACCCGCUCGUCUGCGCCGUCGCGCCACGGCUCCACCCGCUGAGGAGCUGCCGCGGCGCGUCCCCUGGUGGUUAA